CCUACGGGUGGCAGCAGUGGGGGAUAUUGCACAAUGGGGGAAACCCUGAUGCAGCGACGCCGCGUGGGUGAAGAAGCGCCUCGGCGCGUAAAGCCCUGUCAGCAGGGAAGAAAAUGACGGUACCUGAAGAAGUAGCCCCGGCUAACUACGUGCCAGCAGCCGUGGUAAUACGUAGGGGGCAAGCGUUAUCCGGAUUUACUGGGUGUAAAGGGGGCGCAGACGGCGAUGCAAGCCAGGAGUGAAAGCCCGGGGCCCAACCCCGGGACUGCACUUGGAACUGCGUGGCUAGAGUGCAGGAGGGGCAGGCGGAAUUCCUGGUGUAGCGGUGAAAUGCGUAGAUAUCAGGAGGAACACCGGUGGCGAAGGCGGCCUGCUGGACUGCAACUGACGUUGAGGCCCGAAAGCGUGGGGAGCAAACAGGAUUAGAUACCCCAGUAGUC
This 440-nucleotide ribosomal RNA is filed under the name uncultured bacterium. RNAcentral describes it as "partial 16S ribosomal RNA". It matches the Rfam family "Bacterial small subunit ribosomal RNA", at positions 338 to 795 of the family's 1533-position model. The record is from RNAcentral.